RNAcentral lists this ribosomal RNA (301 nucleotides) under uncultured bacterium. Its description in RNAcentral is "partial 16S ribosomal RNA". It matches the Rfam family "Bacterial small subunit ribosomal RNA", at positions 509 to 807 of the family's 1533-position model. The record is from RNAcentral.
CAGCCGCCGCGGUAAAACAGAGGGUGCGAGCGUUAAUCGGAUUUACUGGGCGUAAAGCGUGCGUAGGCGGCUUUUUAAGUCGGAUGUGAAAUCCCUGAGCUUAACUUAGGAAUUGCAUUCGAUACUGGGAAGCUAGAGUAUGGGAGAGGAUGGUAGAAUUCCAGGUGUAGCGGUGAAAUGCGUAGAGAUCUGGAGGAAUACCGAUGGCGAAGGCAGCCAUCUGGCCUAAUACUGACGCUGAGGUACGAAAGCAUGGGGAGCAAACAGGAUUAGAUACCCGUGUAGUCCCUGUCUCUUAUAC